Peromyscus maniculatus bairdii (prairie deer mouse) is the source of this 4509-nucleotide non-coding RNA. The record is from RefSeq and is a predicted model, not a curated record. NCBI's taxonomy places the organism in Eukaryota, Metazoa, Chordata, Mammalia, Rodentia, Cricetidae.
GUCUGACAGAGAGCAGGUAGAUACAUUACACCACGAAUGCCUCUGCCCCGACUCAGUAUAAAGUAUUAAUAACUCAGAAGAACAUAAGAAAAGGAUGUGAUAUGCACCUCUACACCUAACUUUUGCUUUUAUAUCUUAAAGCAAAAAAUAUCCAUGAUGUACAGUAAAAUAUGAGUGUAGAGGUGGGCAAAGUACCAGUGGUGGUGGUGGUGCAGCAAUUUGAUCCCAGCAAUUGGGAGGCAGAGCCAGGCAGAUCUGUGAGUUCGAGGCCAGCCUGAUCUACAAAGUGAGUUCCUGAACAGCCAGGGCUGUUACACAGAGUAACCCUGUCUUGAAAUACCCCCGCUCCCAAAAAAGUAGACAAAACCAUCAACCAUUUUUCUGUGUGUGUGUCUGUGCACACGCACUCAUUAGAGUAAUUGUGUGCAUGCUUGUGUAAAUGUGCAGGCCAGAGGGUAAUGUCAAGUGUCUUUCCUCUAUUGCCCUCUACCUUGAUUUUUAGUUUCUGAGACAAGGCUGUCAGUGAACCUGAAGCGCAUGGGAUCAGCAAGAUGGCUUAGCCAGUGAGCUUCAGGACCCAUCAUUUGUGCCCCCUGCACCUCUUCCUCCAGGCUGGGGUUGCAGGACUCACUGCUAGGCCCAGUUUUUUCAUGAGGUUCUUCUCGGUAUCCAAACUCAGGUCCUCAAGCUUGUGCAGCAGUUACUUUACCUACAGACACCUCCUCAGCCCCAGUGCAUCUGUUUCCACUCAACUGUACACAAGAGUACCCAAUAAUAGUAUAAAAAGGAAAGUUGUUAGUACAGCUCUAAAGGUUUCUAAAGCAGACUAACCAGCAACAAGUGUUCUUACCACGGCCUAGACAGUCAUUAGAAGCAAAUGUUAAUGCAAAUACGAGACACGGAAAUGGCAAAACAGACAUACUUUCUGCUUGUUUAGCCAUCUCUGGCUGAUAGGCCUGUGGCUUGUCCUGGGUAGGUGCAGGAGAGCUGGCAGGACUUAUCACCUCAAUAGCAUCACUAGGUGCUUCAUACCUGUGAGAAGACACUUUAAGAAAAGAACCUCAUUUUAAAAUAAAUCCAUGGAAAGGUUCAAAAGUCCACGUUCUUCAAAGCUAUUUGCAAAUUUUAGUUGUUUUAUUCUGCUAAAAAAUGUCCAGUAGCAUUCUAUACUAGGAAUAAAACUUAAUCAAACCCAACAGACUAUUAAAGGUGCCUCUGUGCUCCUAAUCUCAAUAGGUUGUAGGUUCUUUAAGCAUGAGAUGAAGCAGAAUUAAGAUUUGUCCCCUGGAACCUUGAAAAGAAACCACAGGCUAACAUUCAUCAAAGGAGAUUAAUGAGUAAGUGAGGGGUAGAUCUCAACCAUUAAUUGAUCCCAAUAAUUCCAUUUUGGUGGGACAAUCUGAUCUUAACAAACAGGCCAUAAAGCUGCUUCACUGCCCCAAGACUAAGUUACUGCUUAGAAAAUGCUAUGAUGAGUUUCUCAGAUAACUCAAGCAUUACACUGGGGAAGUGAACAGGAGUGGUAGGAAAUCUGUGAAGGAAAUUACUUCAAAGAGAGGGAACGUAUCAACCAAUUCUGGAGGAUGCCCACACAGACCCCUCUAAGAUACAUACAGCUCUCAAGAAAAUUGAUGGGUUCUGCAGAUGUAGAUCAUGGGUAGCAUUCUAGAAACCUGCCAUGCUUUAGAGUUGGGAUUUGGGGAGAGUCAGGUAGAACUUGGUAAGAAACUUCUGUUAGAGGCCAUCUCCAGUCUGUACCAGACCCUGAGUCAGGGUUACGACCUUGGCUGAACACAGGCAUAAGUGAACUACUUGGCCACUGCAUAAUGCUCUUACUAUUCAAAUGGACAUCUCUACAUACCUCCCACCUGUCAUGGAAAUCAAUGCUUAGGAGCUAAAAUAAACCACUAUGUUGUAAGUAACUUUCUGACUUGAAAGUUUUGUAUUUAUUGUUACUCAUCAAUGCUUAUGAACCAACAUCUUUUUUUUUUUUUUUUUUUUUUUUUGGUUUUUCGAGACAGGGUUUCUCUGUGUAGCUUUGUGCCUUUCCUGGAACUCGCUCUGUAGCCCAGUCUGGCCUCGAACUCACAAAGAUCCGCCUGCCUCUGCCUCCCGAAUGAACCAACAUCUUAAACGACAAGAACUGACAGUAUUCUGCAAACUAUAUUCAUGUUGCUCUUGAAGAUUAGGGUGCAAGGUGAAGGCUAAGGGGGGGGCUCUCAGAGUCACACUGAAAAGGACACUGAGUAGUUGUUAGGAGCCUAUGUAUCAUGCUGGAUAUUGCCAGUGAUAGAAAAGAUAACUCCACUCAAAAGUAGGAACAUGAGGAUCUAAGAGUGGGCUUUCUAUUUUCAGACUGCUGAGAAACGAAAUCCCAAAGCAGAGUUUGGUAUGUGCACAGACUGCAACAGACUUAAUCCCUGACUCCCCACCAAGAUGCCCUGCAUUCCUGCUCUCCUUGAGCUAGCAGACUUUGAAUGUUGAAAAUCUAUGUUGUAAACUUCCUUAACUCCAGGUUAAAGGGUGUAUUUCUUCUACAGUUUAUUCCCAAUGCCAAUUCUCUGUGAAAAUUUUGCCAACAACUUGUAAUUACCUAAGUGAAUACUUGGUGAUAAAAACCGAACUCUAUUCCAGUACUACUGAAUUUCCUUAAUGGAGAUACUAAAAAAAUGACUACAUGAUUAAACUGCUUCCAGUCAUCACAACUGCUAAUUUAAGCAUGCUUGUCUUUCUCUAAAAUUCCAUAUAGAAUAUAUUUAGGUCAUAGCUAAGAAACAAAUUAAAUUAUAUUUAUUCAUUUAUAUAUUUACUUCUGUGUAUGGAAAGCCAUUAUCCCUGCACACAUGGGAAGGUGGAUUGAUGGUAUGGUUAGUUCUCUCCUUCUACUAUGGGGUUCAGAGCAUCAGAUUUAGUGGUAAGUACCUUUACCUGCUGAGCCAUCUCAUCACCCCUAAGAAAGUUUAAAAAGCAUUUUUGUGUAUUAUUUUGAUACUUACUUGCAGAACAAACAUCACAGUAACUAGCCAGACCGAAUCAAAAUCCAAUUCUCAAGAAAGACACAAAGUGAGUACCAGUCACUAAUAGGCUCACUUCAAAAACAAAAACAAAAACAAAACCACUGCUUUAAAAAAAGGACACAGGAGACUUUGGGAGAUUAGUGAAUUUAGCAAACAAUUUCUCAGAGAAUACACUAUGGGAGCACAGAUCUUGAAGAUAUUCCCAUUUCAGAUGCCUAAAUACCGUCAGAAGCUCUAUUUUCCAUCUAGCCACUUCUAAUUCUAUGGGUUUUUUCCCUAGGUAAUAUAUUGAUGGGCUUAUACUUAUAGGGCAUGGGAAUAUGUAAGUCAUAAGAAUAUUAGAAGAUACAUUUUUGCACCCACAAUAUUUUCUCUCCUAUUACUGUCAGGCAUUAGGAUUGUUUCAUACCAGGCCGUGCUUUACCUAAAGAAUAAAGUCACUCUUUACUCAGAUACCACAUUGUGAAACUCAGAUUGAGAUACAUACAGCUACUAGAAGAGUCUGAACUUUGAGAGCCACGGUCCCUCGCAUCCUUGUCCGAGGCAAUUUGCCGGGUGAUGAUCACGUCUAUGAAGUUAGCUGCAGUAAUGGUAGUCUUCCCUCGGGUCCUUAGCUCUUCCUCAUAUCUGGAUUUUGGAGGAGGCCCCUUAUCUUUCCCAGCCUCAGAAUACACUACUGAGGCAUGAGGCUGGGGCUUGCCACUCGGAAGGGCUGAAGAAGUGCACACACACUGAACAGAUCUCUUCUCCACCUCCAGGUUUUUCUGCUCUAGCUGCUGCUGUUCACUAACUGCUGCUGACCUGCUUCUCAAAUUUUCUUCUAACCUGGCAGCUUCAUGCUUACUCUCUUUUGUUUUGGAAACAUCCAUCUGGGGUGCAGAAGCUGCAGCGUCCACAAGAGCAGCCAGGGCAUCCGCAGCAGUGUUGUAGCGGGAGGCUGGCAGGCCUUGGCUUAUGGAAGGGCCCCCAGCAGGCAGUGGCCUGUAAACAAAGAAAAUAAAGGCAUUUCUAUCUCGAUUCCAGAAAGGAAAGAAGAGCCAAUAACAAAGUGCUACGUAUCUCAGACGCUAAUCCUGCAGACUGCUGCAGAUUCUGCUACGGUUAGUACGCUCUCCCAGAUCAAACAGCUUUCCAUCCAUCACAAAAAGACACAUACAGCAGCUGCAUUACAGUGUGGGGUUCCUGCACUCAACCCUGGUUCUUCCUGUUUUACCUCUUUGUGUGUACAGACAGGCGUGCAUGGGUGUGCAUGGCCAGAGAUCAAUCCCUGUCAUCCCAGGUACUUUCCACCUUGUUUUUUAAGAGAGUCUCUCACUAGCUUGAAAUCCAAAGACUGGGCAGGCAAGCUGACGAGUGAACAGCAGGGAUCCAACUGUGGAAGCCUCUCCACAUUGCUAUUACAAGUCCAUGGCACCACACCUAGUGUUUGUUCCAUGGUUUGGGAACCAAACUCAGGCUGCCACACUUGUGUGGCGAGCACUUUACCAACUGA